Molecule: ribosomal RNA, 303 nt
Filed under: Triticum aestivum (bread wheat)
Lineage: Eukaryota; Viridiplantae; Streptophyta; Magnoliopsida; Poales; Poaceae
Description: partial small subunit ribosomal RNA
Source: RNAcentral
AUGCGGCGGCGAGGCGAGGAGCACCGGAGAACUGGAGGUUGCGGGCGGCGCGAAUGGAUCGAUGUUCAACGACUCACACCCGUCGUCUGUACACUCUCACCCGGAUUAGGUUCUUGCUUUCCAGCAAACUUGGUUAGAAUAAAUGUUGGUCUCUCUAUAAUUUUUGCAAUGUGCACCUCCAUGCUACGAGUUAUUUCUUGUAAAGUUUGUACAUCAUUAAUUAGUCCAACAACCACCGGUCACCCCAAAGGAGUAAUUUUUUCUGGGCUCGUUGCACGGCAUAUGCCCAAAACCGUCGUUUGA